GACGAACGCUGGCGGCGUGCCUAAUACAUGCAAGUUGAGCGCUGAAGGUUGGUACUUGUACCAACUGGAUGAGCAGCGAACGGGUGAGUAACGCGUGGUGAAUCUGCCUUUGAGCGGGGGACAACAUUUGGAAACGAAUGCUAAUACCGCAUAAAAACUUUAAACACAAGUUUUAAGUUUGAAAGAUGCAAUUGCAUCACUCAAAGAUGAUCCCGCGUUGUAUUAGCUAGUUGGUGAGGUAAAGGCUCACCAAGGCGAUGAUACAUAGCCGACCUGAGAGGGUGAUCGGCCACAUUGGGACUGAGACACGGCCCAAACACCUACGGGAGGCAGCAGUAGGGAAUCUUCAGCAAAGGACGAAAGUCUGACCGAGCAACGCCGCGUGAGGGAAGAAGGUUGUCGGAUCGUAAAACUCUGUUGGUAGAGAAGAACGUUGGUGAGAGUGGAAAGCUCAGCAAGUGACGGUAACUACCCAGAAAGGGACGGCUAACUACGUG
This 497-nucleotide ribosomal RNA is filed under the name uncultured bacterium. RNAcentral describes it as "partial 16S ribosomal RNA". It matches the Rfam family "Bacterial small subunit ribosomal RNA", at positions 28 to 507 of the family's 1533-position model. The record is from RNAcentral.